This 254-nucleotide ribosomal RNA is filed under the name uncultured bacterium. RNAcentral describes it as "partial 16S ribosomal RNA". It matches the Rfam family "Bacterial small subunit ribosomal RNA", at positions 524 to 776 of the family's 1533-position model. The record is from RNAcentral.
UACGUAGGGUGCAAGCGUUAAUCGGAAUUACUGGGCGUAAAGCGUGCGCAGGCGGUUCUAUAAGUCGGAUGUGAAAUCUCCCUGGCUUAACCGGGAGAGUGCAUUUGAGACUGUCAACCUGGAGGGCAGCAGAGGAGCGUGGAAUUCCGGGUGGAGUGGUGAAAUGCGUAGAGAUCCGGAGGAACACCAGAGGCGAAAGCGGCGCUCUGGGCUGCACCUGACGCUGAACUGCGAAAGCCAGGGGAGCGAACGGG